AUGUGCUCCCCGGCACUGGCCGGUGGACGGCGCGGCACCGAAUCGACCGCCGCACGGGGUGGGGUGCCUCCUGGCGGCUGGGAUCGGGAGGCGAGGGAGAAAGAGGAGAGACGGUUGGGGUUAUGUUUCUUUUUUUACUUCAAAAAGGACCGCGGGUUUAAUACCGCAAACUGUAGGGAUUGUUUUGCAAAAUUUCUGAUCGAAACGUUUUCCCACUUACGAAAGGACUGCGGGUUGAAUACUGAAAAAUGCAGGGAGGUUUCUGCAAAAAUGCCGCGACGUACGACCAGAAGCGAUCCAUGGUUUAUUAGUAGGUAA
Molecule: ribosomal RNA, 318 nt
Filed under: Triticum aestivum (bread wheat)
Lineage: Eukaryota; Viridiplantae; Streptophyta; Magnoliopsida; Poales; Poaceae
Description: partial small subunit ribosomal RNA
Source: RNAcentral